UUGUAAAGUGUUUAUGAGCGGCUUAUUGAAGCAUCUUUCAACUCUGACAGAGAUAUUAUCAGGUAUGUUACCAAGAGCCUGAAAUGUCUGGAUUGCUUUAAGCGUUUGGAUUCUGCAUCGUCAAAAAAACCUGAAUUUAAAGCUUAAACAGCUCAUCCGUAUAGUUUGGAUGAGGGUUCAACUUCCGAGAGGCUUUGAAGCACUUAUGCAAGUUCUCCGCGGUGCAGUCUGGAAAGGCAAACAUCCAGUUCUGCAGGUUUUGCGCGCCUGGUAGUUCACUUUCCAGUCCUAUACCGUCUGUUUGCUUUUGUUGCUUGCAUGCAACGGUGCACAUUGAGUUCCGUAGACUACUAUGGAUGCAUGGAAUAAAGAAAUGUGAUUUAAGUGUCUAUAAAUGCAACUUUUCCUCCAGAUUUUGAUGCGCAUUGGCUUGCUUAAAAAGGCUUUUUUUAGGAGUUAGAGUAGCAUCAUAUGUCAAGAUGUCGACCCAGAGUUUUGGUCUGUAUGUUGAUGGUUUUCAGUUCAUCCUCUAGCCUGUCAAAGCUUCAGUUUGUUUCUGUCUGAAUAACAGUUUCCACGUCGUCCGCUCCUCUCCCCCACAGCAGCGCUGAAUGGGUCGCUCCAGUCUGCCCGGGCUGUCCAAUGACAGAAAGGCUCAGGCAUGGGAGCCCCCUAUUGGCUCCCCGCAUGAUCGAUCCGGGGUUGAUUGAUCGGUUGUAGGCCACAUUUGCAGGGAGGCGCAAAACAAAACAUCGUCCACCAGUCGAAAACACACACAUUGCGUUUUCUGUCAGCUUCUAAAGGUUGUAAAUUUACUAAAACACACUAUCUCAUAACUACCCCCUUUCUCUUUUUGUCUCACCCCUCUCUCCCCCUUUCUUAUGCACACGCUCCGAUCUUUAGGACUUUAAUUACUUGUUUCUAAAUGCACUCACACUGACUUCAGCAAACCCAAACAAGCUGCACUAUCGUCAGUUUUCUUCCCUCAGAAGAGUUCACACUUCAACUUUUCUCUCUACAAUAAGCCGUUCACUCGAGUCCCAGAAACUAUAAAAGUUUGGUCAAAUAUUGAUGAGCUUGAAUUUAUGGAGCAGAAAAGUUAGAUUCUCCAGUCAUUCGGAGUUAGGUGCCGGUAUCAGUGAGUUAUGCGAGGAUGUAAAUUAACAAAAUAGCCUGAAUUUACUGCGUUGUCUGGUUUGAGUCCUCGCCUGGAUAUGAAGCGGUGCAAAUCUUAUUUCAUUAAGUCUAUGAAACAUUUUUAAUUAAGAAGUUGGACUUCCUAAAAUUUGCAUGGAAUAUUUAUGAUAGGUUCCCUUGCAUGAGAAGUUUCGUAAAAGAAAAGAAAAGUUUUUUUUUUUUCUGUGGGAUUAAAUUUGAGUGAAGACGCAAACAUGAAUUUUCUCAUCACUUCUACUAGGUGUUUGUUUGUUUUUGUCUGUUUUCACGUGUUGAUCAGGUUCACUAAACUCUUUAUUUAUUAUUCUCAGCCCCUCGCAAGUAAACUGGGACCGUGCGAAAGAGCCACAUUAUCUCUUUAUUAUGCUCACAAGGUGUUGCUGCUCUGUGACAGCUUGCUUGAAGUUUUUUUUCCCCGUGCAGCGCGUCCAGUCAUCGAUCAUCUGCCCCCGGUGCCAGAAAUGGUGUCAUAACAUGAUAAUGCGGCUUCACACAUUCGGUAGUGAUUCCUGUGGUAAAACCCAAGCGAUGAGAUCCGAAGGGACAAAUUUCAGAGGCAUGAGAAGAUUCUCAGAGCCUCCCUGCAGUCCGGCCAGGGAGGCUCCGGGGUGAGGACAGCAAAGGAGACUGGAAGCAGCGCAGGACGCACGGACCUAUACGCACAGAGACUCCGAAUCAAAUAAUAAGGUCGGCUGACUUGUGCUCGUCGAGGUUGUUAAUUAUUUACUGGUGAGUAAAGCUCUCCCACUCAAUUUCUGUUUUUUUUUAAUUAUUUUUUAACUGCAUUUUAAAUUAUUCAAAAUCCUAUUAUUGUCUCUGAUAUAUUCUCUCACUAGACACUUCUUUUAGAAUAAAGUAAAAAGCUGCUAUUUUAAAUCCACUUCCUGCGAAAAUUUGUGGGUUUAGUCAAACGCAAACAGGAUUAAACGACUCAUCCAACCACAAGGCACACUACAUUUUAGAGGGUCAUUGAGAAAAAAAAUCUCAAGCUAAAUUAACAUGAAAGGAGCCCACAUCAGCGCCUGACCACUGUAAAAUAACUACAAUGGCAUUAUAAAGCAAUUAAGCUCCUUCAAUUAGCGUCCAUAAAAGCAGCGCGGAGCUGCACUUUCUCUCCCGGAGUCGCUCUCUCGUGAGGGUCAGCGCGUUUUGGCAUCCCGUGAGAGAGCAGGGGGGCAAAUACCGUCAUUUCGGUUUAAUCCUCUUUACGUUGACGGUAAUGCUUGGAGUCAUUUCAAUAAAAUCAGCAAGUAUUAGUUUCAAACGGCUGGAUGGAAAAAAAGACAGACGGUUUGACCGAAGAAUCAAAUAGAGGCAUUAUUGGAUGGCCUUUGUGCGCGUGACUUUUGCUGUUUGGAGACAAAGAAGUUGCGGUUUUUAUGUUAGUUUAGAAAAUCUUCAAGAAACUUACUUCUUAUCACUAAUAUUAUUUACAGAGUAACAUCGAAACAUUUUAAAAGUCACCUUUAGUGUUUUUUGGCUUGAGGGAUGUUCAAAUAAAUGAUGCACAUUUGAAUAUGAAUUUUUACGCGCCUAAGUUUGGUUGGAAAUAAUCAAUUCUAGGUCAGAGAAUCAGAGUUUUCGCCUCUGCAUUUGUCUUUAUCUCUGCCUGUCUGUUGCUGUUUGAAGAAACAUGGAGCAACUGGCAGCCCCAGGAGUCAAACUGAGGUCAAACUUUUUGCAGCCCCACAGCUCUGCGCGAAAACGUGUUGGGAUCUGCAGAGGCCACUGAGCCCCAGUCUCUCUGCUUUGUGUCAGUGCUGCAGCGCUCAGCCAGACAGAUACAGACCUGCUGCAGAGUUUUCACAGAUUAUCUAAUUAUAAGGUACCACAACUAUAUUACCGUCUGUCAGAAGAAUCCGUCGGAUUCAAUAGGAGCUAUACGAGAUUUAGUCAGAAAGUAUUCGGUCAGUAAAAAAGGCGCCUUGGCUCGG
Molecule: non-coding RNA, 3110 nt
Organism: Xyrichtys novacula (pearly razorfish)
Lineage: Eukaryota; Metazoa; Chordata; Actinopteri; Labriformes; Labridae
Source: the annotation of a GenBank genome assembly